AGGAUUAACGCUGGCGGCGUGCAUGAAACAUGCAAGUCGAGCGCGGUGUGAUGCGGGGUAACCCAAUUCACAUCUAGCGGCGAACGGGUGAGUAACACGUGAGCAACCUACCUUUGAGUUGGGGAUAGCCCUGGGAAACCAGGAUUAAUACCCGAUGUGGUCACAACAGGACAUCCUGAUGUGAGUAAAGGCGCAAGCCGCUCAAUGACGGGCUCGCGGCCUAUUAGCUUGUUGGUGGGGUAACGGCCUACCAAGGCGAUGAUGGGUAGCUGGUCUGAGAGGACGAUCAGCCACACUGGGACUGAGACACGGCCCAGACUCCUACGGGAGGCAGCAGUUAGGAAUUUUCCGCAAUGGGCGAAAGCCUGACGGAGCAACGCCGCGUGAGUGAUGAAGACCUUAGGGUUGUAAAGCUCUGUCGGAGGGAAGAACACAAUGACGGUACCCUCCAAGAAAGCCCGGCUAACUACGUGCCAGCAGCCGCGGUAA
RNAcentral lists this ribosomal RNA (489 nucleotides) under uncultured bacterium. RNAcentral's name for it is "SSU rRNA". It matches the Rfam family "Bacterial small subunit ribosomal RNA", at positions 26 to 523 of the family's 1533-position model. The record is from RNAcentral.